This 83-nucleotide transfer RNA is filed under the name Canis lupus familiaris (dog). It matches the Rfam family "tRNA". Rfam says of the family: Transfer RNA (tRNA) molecules are approximately 80 nucleotides in length. Their secondary structure includes four short double-helical elements and three loops (D, anti-codon, and T loops). Lineage: Eukaryota; Metazoa; Chordata; Mammalia; Carnivora; Canidae. The record is from Rfam by way of RNAcentral.
GCCUGGGUGGCUCAGUGGUUGAGUGUCUGCCUUCAGCUCAGGCCAUGAUCCUGGGGUCCUGGGAUGGAGUCCCAGAUCAGGCU